This 483-nucleotide ribosomal RNA is filed under the name uncultured bacterium. RNAcentral's name for it is "bacterial SSU rRNA". It matches the Rfam family "Bacterial small subunit ribosomal RNA", at positions 501 to 987 of the family's 1533-position model. The record is from RNAcentral.
CUACGUGCCAGCAGCCGCGGUAAUACGUAUGUCACAAGCGUUAUCCGGAUUUAUUGGGCGUAAAGCGCGUCUAGGUGGUUAUGUAAGUCUGAUGUGAAAAUGCAGGGCUCAACUCUGUAUUGCGUUGGAAACUGCAUGACUAGAGUACUGGAGAGGUAAGCGGAACUACAAGUGUAGAGGUGAAAUUCGUAGAUAUUUGUAGGAAUGCCGAUGGGGAAGCCAGCUUACUGGACAGAUACUGACGCUAAAGCGCGAAAGCGUGGGUAGCAAACAGGAUUAGAUACCCUGGUAGUCCACGCCGUAAACGAUGAUUACUAGGUGUUGGGGGUCGAACCUCAGCGCCCAAGCUAACGCGAUAAGUAAUCCGCCUGGGGAGUACGUACGCAAGUAUGAAACUCAAAGGAAUUGACGGGGACCCGCACAAGCGGUGGAGCAUGUGGUUUAAUUCGACGCAACGCGAGGAACCUUACCAGCGUUUGACAU